UGGGGAAUAUUGGGCAAUGGAGGAAACUCUGACCCAGCGACGCCGCGUGAGGGAUGAAGGCCUUCGGGUUGUAAACCUCUUUCAGUAGGGAAGAAGCGAAAGUGACGGUACCUACAGAAGAAGCACCGGCUAACUAU
This 137-nucleotide ribosomal RNA is filed under the name uncultured Actinomycetes bacterium. RNAcentral's name for it is "uncultured actinobacterium partial 16S ribosomal RNA". It matches the Rfam family "Bacterial small subunit ribosomal RNA", at positions 355 to 504 of the family's 1533-position model. The record is from RNAcentral. Lineage: Bacteria; Bacillati; Actinomycetota; Actinomycetes.